This 472-nucleotide ribosomal RNA is filed under the name uncultured bacterium. Its description in RNAcentral is "bacterial SSU rRNA". It matches the Rfam family "Bacterial small subunit ribosomal RNA", at positions 355 to 825 of the family's 1533-position model. The record is from RNAcentral.
UCGGGAAUUUUGGGCAAUGGGCGAAAGCCUGAUCCAGCCAUGCCGCGUGUGUGAAGAAGGUCUUCGGAUUGUAAAGCACUUUAAGUUGGGAGGAAGGGCAGUUACCUAAUACGUAUCUGUUUUGACGUUACCGACAGAAUAAGCACCGGCUAACUCUGUGCCAGCAGCCGCGGUAAUACAGAGGGUGCAAGCGUUAAUCGGAAUUACUGGGCGUAAAGCGCGCGUAGGUGGUUUGUUAAGUUGGAUGUGAAAUCCCCGGGCUCAACCUGGGAACUGCAUUCAAAACUGACAAGCUAGAGUAUGGUAGAGGGUGGUGGAAUUUCCUGUGUAGCGGUGAAAUGCGUAGAUAUAGGAAGGAACACCAGUGGCGAAGGCGACCACCUGGACUGAUACUGACACUGAGGUGCGAAAGCGUGGGGAGCAAACAGGAUUAGAUACCCACGUAGUCCCUGAGCGGGCUGGCAAGGCGCAU